RNAcentral lists this ribosomal RNA (200 nucleotides) under uncultured Clostridium sp. Its description in RNAcentral is "partial 16S ribosomal RNA". It matches the Rfam family "Bacterial small subunit ribosomal RNA", at positions 563 to 762 of the family's 1533-position model. The record is from RNAcentral. Lineage: Bacteria; Bacillati; Bacillota; Clostridia; Eubacteriales; Clostridiaceae.
AAGGGAGCGUAGGUGGAUAUUUAAGUGGGAUGUGAAAUACUCGGGCUUAACUUGGGUGCUGCAUUCCAAACUGGAUAUCUAGAGUGCAGGAGAGGAAAGUAGAAUUCCUAGUGUAGCGGUGAAAUGCGUAGAGAUUAGGAAGAAUACCAGUGGCGAAGGCGACUUUCUGGACUGUAACUGACACUGAGGCUCGGGAGGAA